Long non-coding RNA from Herpailurus yagouaroundi (jaguarundi), 133 nucleotides. RefSeq lists it as uncharacterized. The record is from RefSeq and is a predicted model, not a curated record. Lineage: Eukaryota; Metazoa; Chordata; Mammalia; Carnivora; Felidae. The transcript is spliced from 3 exons.
GGGUCAAGGAAAGAAGGAAGCAUGGUCGCAGGAAGAACAGGAAGGCAUCCCAACGUACAGAAGUUUGGAAACUCCUCCGGCACGUGAGUCCACUAACAACUGUUUCUCCCCUGGAAGUCGCCUAAUGAAAUCA